This 447-nucleotide ribosomal RNA is filed under the name uncultured bacterium. RNAcentral describes it as "bacterial SSU rRNA". It matches the Rfam family "Bacterial small subunit ribosomal RNA", at positions 329 to 793 of the family's 1533-position model. The record is from RNAcentral.
UGCCAGACUCCUACGGGAGGCAGCAGUGGGGAAUAUUGCACAAUGGGGGAAACCCUGAUGCAGCGACGCCGCGUGAGUGAAGAAGUAUCUCGGUACGUAAAGCUCUCUCAGCAGGGAAGAAAAUGACGGUACCUGACUAAGAAGCCCCGGCUAACUACGUGCCAGCAGCCGCGGUAAUACGUAGGGGGCAAGCGUUAUCCGGAUUUACUGGGUGUAAAGGGAGCGUAGACGGCAAUACAAGUCGGAAGUGAAAUACCCGGGCUUAACCUGGGAACUGCUUUGGAAACUGUAUGGCUGGAGUGCUGGAGAGGUAAGCGGAAUUCCUAGUGUAGCGGUGAAAUGCGUAGAUAUUAGGAGGAACACCAGUGGCGAAGGCGGCUUACUGGACAGUAACUGACGUUGAGGCUCGAAAGCGUGGGGAGCAAACAGGAUUAGAUACCCCAGUAU